Molecule: transfer RNA, 84 nt
Filed under: Sphagnum australe
Lineage: Eukaryota; Viridiplantae; Streptophyta; Sphagnopsida; Sphagnales; Sphagnaceae
Description: tRNA-Ser
Rfam family: tRNA
About the family: Transfer RNA (tRNA) molecules are approximately 80 nucleotides in length. Their secondary structure includes four short double-helical elements and three loops (D, anti-codon, and T loops).
Source: RNAcentral
GGAUGGAUGUCUGAGUGGUUGAAGGAGUCGGUCUUGAAAACCGAAGUAUCGAAAAUACCGGGGGUUCGAAUCCCUCUCCAUCCG